RNAcentral lists this long non-coding RNA (287 nucleotides) under Phaseolus vulgaris (common bean). RNAcentral describes it as "long non-coding RNA (PVUL_LNC003995)". Lineage: Eukaryota; Viridiplantae; Streptophyta; Magnoliopsida; Fabales; Fabaceae. The record is from RNAcentral.
AAAAAAAGUUAUUGAAAAAUCCAUAAUAGAAGAAGAGAGAAAUGAGAAAGGUUGAAAGAAGGUUGGUGAUGAUAUGUGUGUUUGUAUGAGUAAGUACUAGAAAUGGCAAUUGCCAUGGAAGCCAAAGCCAAAACCAUGUCGUAGCUGAAAAAACAUGAAAAUCUUUCACUCACGCAGCUCAACCUUAACCUAAACCUAAACCUAAACUAAACCUUAACCUUAACCUUAACCUAAACCUUAACCUAACGUAGUCCACACAACAUAAGAAGAACCAAUUUACGCAGGAG